Molecule: ribosomal RNA, 205 nt
Filed under: uncultured bacterium
Lineage: Bacteria
Description: partial 16S ribosomal RNA
Rfam family: Bacterial small subunit ribosomal RNA
Source: RNAcentral
ACUGCAGUCUGCAACUCGACUGCACGAAGUCGGAAUUGCUAGUAAUCGCGGAUCAGCAUGCCGCGGUGAAUACGUUCCCGGGUCUUGUACACACCGCCCGUCACACCAUGAGAGCCGGAAACACCCGAAGUCCGUAGCCUAACCGCGGAGGGGGGCGCGGCCGAAGGUGGGUUUGGUAAUUGGGGUGAAGUCGUAACAAGGUAAC